RNAcentral lists this ribosomal RNA (613 nucleotides) under uncultured archaeon. Its description in RNAcentral is "partial 16S ribosomal RNA". It matches the Rfam family "Archaeal small subunit ribosomal RNA", at positions 327 to 943 of the family's 1478-position model. The record is from RNAcentral.
GGGGUGCAGCAGCGCGAAACUUUGCAAUACACGAAAUGUGACAGGGCUAUCCCGAGUGCCAUCCGCUGAGGAAGGCUUUUACCCAGUCUAGAACGCUGGGGGAAUAAGGAGAGGGCAAGUCUGGUGUCAGCCGCCGCGGUAAUACCAGCUCUCCGAGUGGUGUGGAUGUUUAUUGGGCCUAAAGCAUCCGUAGCUGGCUAGGUUAGUCCCCUGUUAAAUCCACCGAAUUAAUCGUUGGAUUGCGGGGGAUACUGCUUGGCUAGGGGACGAGAGAGGCAGACGGUAUUUCCGGGGUAGGGUGAAAUCCUAUAAUCCCGGGAGGACACCAGUGGCGAGGCUGUUGCUAGAACGCCCCAACGUGAGGGAGAAGCUGGGGGACGACCGGAUAGAUACCCGUAGUCCACUGUAAACGAUGCAAAUAGGUGUUUUGAACGGCCCCCUGCCCGUUCUAGUGCCCGCAGGGAACCUGUUAAAUUCUGCCCCCCGGGGGAGUACCAACCCCAAAAAUGGAAACUUUAAGGGAAUUGGGGGGGGGGAAGCCCCCCCAAGGGGGGGGAAGCCUUGGGGGUUUAAUUGGAAAUCCAACCCCGGAAAACCCCCCCCGGGAAACCGA